Molecule: signal recognition particle RNA, 148 nt
Filed under: Pan troglodytes (chimpanzee)
Lineage: Eukaryota; Metazoa; Chordata; Mammalia; Primates; Hominidae
Description: Metazoan signal recognition particle RNA
Rfam family: Metazoan signal recognition particle RNA
About the family: The signal recognition particle (SRP) is a universally conserved ribonucleoprotein. It is involved in the co-translational targeting of proteins to membranes.
Source: Rfam by way of RNAcentral
GCCGGGUGUGGUGGCGCAUGCCUGUAAUCCCAGCUACUCAGGAGGCUGAGGCAGGAGAAUCGCUUGUACCUGGGAGGCAGAGGUUGCAGUGAGCUGAGAGCGUGCCACUGCACUCCAGCCUGGGCAACAGAGCGAGACCCUGUCUCAA